RNAcentral lists this ribosomal RNA (301 nucleotides) under uncultured bacterium. RNAcentral describes it as "partial 16S ribosomal RNA". It matches the Rfam family "Bacterial small subunit ribosomal RNA", at positions 509 to 809 of the family's 1533-position model. The record is from RNAcentral.
CAGCAGCCGCGGGAAUACAGAGGGUGCGAGCGUUAAUCGGAUUUACUGGGCGUAAAGCGUGCGUAGGCGGCUAAUUGAGUCGGAUGUGAAAUCCCCGAGCUUAACUUGGGAAUUGCAUUCGAUACUGGUUAGCUAGAGUGUGGGAGAGGAUGGUAGAAUUCCAGGUGUAGCGGUGAAAUGCGUAGAGAUCUGGAGGAAUACCGAUGGCGAAGGCAGCCAUCUGGCCUAACACUGACGCUGAGGUACGAAAGCAUGGGGAGCAAACAGGAUUAGAUACCCGAGUAGUCCCUGUCUUUUAUAC